Bubalus bubalis (water buffalo) is the source of this 547-nucleotide long non-coding RNA. RefSeq lists it as uncharacterized. The transcript has 5 exons. NCBI's taxonomy places the organism in Eukaryota, Metazoa, Chordata, Mammalia, Artiodactyla, Bovidae. The record is from RefSeq and is a predicted model, not a curated record.
CCCUGAGGUCCUGGAGCUUGUGGACAUUGGGUUCCAGCGGUUUGUAGUGACUGGUGGCCUUGGUAGACUUGGAAAGCUCCACGAAAUUCCUCUGCACCUCCUGGCACAGGACGUGGUUCUUGGUCACGAAGAUCUGAUGUUGAGGUUGAUGUCAAACUUCGCCAGCAGACCUACCAGCUUUCCCGUGCGUUUGAGCAUGCCUUUCUGGAAGAGGAUAUGCAUCAACGUGUUCCCGCUGCCGUCCUGCAUGUUGGGGUUGAGACAUGUGGGAUCUUAGUUCCCCGACUAGGGAUGGAACCUGUGCCCCCUGCAGUGCUUUCUCAUCUACAUGCAAAAGCCACCCAAAGAUAACCAUCUCCAUUUUCAUCAGAAUGGGGCACAGUAUCUGCCAGAAAGAGCCAAAGGACCACAGAUGUGAAAAACGAAACCCAUCAAGUGGACUUCCCUGGUGGUACAGCGGACAAGAAUCUGCCUGCCAACGCAGCGGACAUGGGUUCGAUAUCUGGUCCAGAAAGAUUCCACAUUCCUCAGAGCAACUAAAGCCCCU